ACGGGAGGCAGCAGUGGGGAAUAUUGCACAAUGGAGGAAACUCUGAUGCAGCGACGCCGCGUGAGUGAAGAAGUAUUUCGGUAUGUAAAGCUCUAUCAGCAGGGAAGAGAAUGACGGUACCUGACUAAGAAGCACCGGCUAAAUACGUGCCAGCAGCCGCGGUAAUACGUAUGGUGCAAGCGUUAUCCGGAUUUACUGGGUGUAAAGGGAGCGCAGGUGGCCUGGCAAGCCAGAAGUGAAAGCCCGGGGCUUAACCCCGGGACUGCCUUUGGAACUGUUGGGCUGGAGUGCAGGAGGGGUAAGCGGAAUCCCUGGUGUAGCGGUGAAAUGCGUAGAUAUUAGGAGGAACACCAGUGGCGAAGGCGGCUUACUGGACUGUAACUGACGUUGAGGCUCGAAAGCGUGGGGAGCAAACAGGAUUAGAUACCCUGGUA
RNAcentral lists this ribosomal RNA (434 nucleotides) under uncultured Lachnospiraceae bacterium. RNAcentral describes it as "partial 16S ribosomal RNA". It matches the Rfam family "Bacterial small subunit ribosomal RNA", at positions 341 to 792 of the family's 1533-position model. Lineage: Bacteria; Bacillati; Bacillota; Clostridia; Lachnospirales; Lachnospiraceae. The record is from RNAcentral.